This 3344-nucleotide long non-coding RNA is filed under the name Amphimedon queenslandica. Its description in RNAcentral is "uncharacterized LOC109585172". The record is from RNAcentral. Lineage: Eukaryota; Metazoa; Porifera; Demospongiae; Haplosclerida; Niphatidae.
UAGUUGGCCAUAAAUGAAGCAACAAGACGGGACGGGGAAUGAUGUCACUUGAAUUUAGUGACGUGAAUGACGCUCGCUAUAAAAACAGUUAGAAAACCUCAAACUAUUAGAACAACCCGCUCGCUCAUUCAUUGUAAUAUCUCUCUGUUACUAACAUAAAGAAGCAAGCAAUAUGAACAAUGGAAAUAAUGGAGAUGGUGACUCACAAGGCGGGCAUGGCUGGUGUAUCAUUUUAUAAUGAAUUGAACUGAUACUUUUGUUACUUUAAUGCUGUUUUCUUAGUUAUAAUACUAGUAAGGUAUCAUUGUCAUUAUAAGCUACUCCUACUGACUGGAGUUAGGUAGGAACAUUGAAUACGCUCUCAGGGACUAUAAACCAUAAACAAGUUAUGGUCAGCAACGCGUGAGGUAAAGGGGACUUUCCCGGGGAAAGUUUCGGCAAUUCGGAAGCAAUAACAAAUGAAUAACAAGUUGUGGGUGUUCUAACUAAAAGAGAUCACAGAAACAAAGGCUUCUGCCAAGCACAAAGCAUGUCAAAUGAUCAACUUUUAGUCUCUUAGUCAUAUAAACAUAAUUCUUUUAGUUCUGGAGAUGGUGACAAAGGAGGUGAAAACACAUGGUGUACCAUUUCAUAAAGAUAAUUUUGCUACUGAUGCUGCUUCUUUAUAUAAUGCAUUAAUGCUGUUUUUUAAAGUUAUAAUAUGCACAUGUAAAAUUAGUAAAGUCAUUGUGUGGAGUUGGUUCAUAAUUUCUGUUUGCAAAGUGAAGGCAUAAAAAGUUACCUACAAUGUACAUGUAGUUGGCCAUAAAUCAAGCAACAAAGCUUGUCAUAAUUAAGAGAAGGGAGGGAUAUGAUUAGAGUUGUGCAAUAUUAGCAAAUGUUAUAAUCAAUAAAUUUAUCUUUAUUUAUUUCAGUAUUACUACUAAAGACAUGUACCUAUUAAUUAUUAAUGAAAAUACCAUUAGUAAUAGUCAAUAAUACUAAAUAGGUAUACUGCCCAACGUGCAACCCCAGGAUCAGGAAUCGGGGAAGUUUAAAAUAGGGUUUGACCAAUGAGUAAACAGAGAGAGGGAGAGAGGGAGGGAGGGGGGAUGAAGUCAUCUAAAGGCCUUCACGUGAAUGGCUUUAUAAAAACAGCUAGGAAUAAUAGAAUAGUAGCCGGUUCCCCUAAUAGCUCUCUCUUAUUAGCAAACUAAUCAAUGAAAAGAAGCAAAAUGAACCGACCAAAGGGUAAGCCAAAGGAUCCACCAAAGCCAAAGGAUCCACCAAAGCCAAAGGAUCAACCAAAGCCAAAGGAUCCACCAAAGCCAAAGUCUGGAGAUGGUGACACAGGAGGUGGACACAAGCGGUGAAAAACUUCAUAAAGAUACUUUUGUUACUGGUGCUGCUUUCUUAUAUAAUACAUUAAUCCUGUUUCUUAAGUUAUAACAUAUACAUGUAAUGUUAGUAAAGUCAUUGUGUGGAGUUGAUUCAUAAUUUCUGUUUGCAGAGUAAAUGCAUAAAAAAAGUUAACGUGUAUUCGGCCAUAAAUCAAGCAACAAAGCUUGCCAUAAUUAAGAGAAGGGGGGGCAUGAUAUCAUCUGAAGGUCUCACGUGAACGACACAAUAAAAACAGUCCAAAACCUCAAAUUAUUGGAAUAACUCCCUCGUUCGUUGUGAUAUCUCUCUCUUAUCGACGAAAAGAAUCAAACAAAAUGAACAAUGCACAUCAUGGAGAUGGUGACACACCAGGCAAGCACCAUUGGUGCAUUAUUUUAUAAAGAAAUGAACUGAUACUUUUUGUUACUCGUUAAUCCUGUUUCUUUUAGUGCUGUUUUCUUAGUUUAGUAAAGUACCAUAGUCAUUAUAAAUUACUCCUACCAAUUGGAGUUGUGUUGUAUAACUUGUAUUGCCAAACUUUUUGUUAUCAAACUAAACCCAAUUACUCAUAACCAAGAGAAAACCCUCGGCAAGCAAAGUGAAGGUACUAAGUUAGCUGGGCUGUAAAACUAUUCCGCCCUAAAUGAGCAACAAAGCUUACCAUUAAGAGAAGGGGAGGGACAUGAUGUCAUUUGAAGAUCUCACGUGAACGACACAAUAAAAACAGCUCAAAACCUCAAAUUAUUAGAAUAGCCCCAUCGUUCAUUGUAAUAUCUCUCUCUCUUAAUAUUGCUCUCUUAUUUACAAAAAGAAGUGAACAAAUGAAUAACGGAGAUAAUGGAAGUGGAGAUCCAGGAGGUGGGCAUAAAUGGUGUGUGAUUUUAUAAAGAAAUGAACUGAUACUUUUGUUACCUGAUAAUGUUUUUUCUUAGCUACAUUUAAUGCUGUUUUCUUAGUUAUAAAAUUAGUAAUAUAACACAGUCAUUAUAAGCUAUUCCUACUGACUAUAAUAUGGUUGGCCUAUAAUUGUUUUUGCUUGUCAAACUAAACAUCAUGGCCAAAUAUUAUCAAGAUGUGAGAGGGAUUAUAACUAAGAGAAAAUCCUACGUAAGCAAAGGGAGUAUACUAAAAAGCUAUUUGGGUUGUGAAACUAGUUGGCCAUAAACAAAGCUUGCCAUUAAGAGAAGGGAGGGACAUGAUGUCAACUCAAGUCUCACGUGAACGAUACAAUAAAAACAGUUUGAAACCUCAAACCAUUAGAAUAACUCGCUCGCUCAUCGUGAUAUCUCUCUCUUAUAAAGAAGCAAACGAUAUGAAGAACAAUGGAAAUAAUGGUGGAGAUGGUGCCACACAAAGUGGGAACACAUGGUGUAUCAUCUUAUAACUGAAACUUUUGUUACCUGUUAAGUCUAUUUUCUUUUUAGGCUGUUUUUUAGUUGCAAUAUUAGUAAAAUACCAUAGUCAUUUCAUUAUAAGUUACUCCUACUGAGUACUAAUUGGAGUUGUAUUGUGUAACUCAAAUUGUUCGUUUUGUCGUAUAACUUGUUUUGUUCAUCAAGCUAAGGUCCAAUAAGUACAUCAUGACCAAAAGAAAACCCUAGAGCUACAGGAAAAGUUAGGGUACUAAGUUAACUGCUAUGGGCUGUAAAACUAUCUAAGCCAUAAAUGAGCAACAAAACUUGCCAUAAAAAGAAGGGAGGGGCAUGAUGUCAUCUGAAGUCUCACGUGAACGGAGCACUAAAAACAGUUUGAAAACCUCAAAUCAUUAGACUAACUUGCAUACUCAUUGCAAUAUGAAUCAAGUAAAAGAAUUACAAAUGAACAAUGGAAAUAAUGGAGAUGGUGGCUCAGAAGAUGGGGGUUCACGUGGAAAUUGCAUCAUUUUAUAAAGAAACAAACUAGUACUUUUAUACCUGCUGUGCUGCUAAUGCUGUUUUCUUAGCUAUAGUACAUUAAUGCUGUUUUCUUAGUCAUAAUAUUAGUAA